Molecule: long non-coding RNA, 421 nt
Filed under: Salmo salar (Atlantic salmon)
Lineage: Eukaryota; Metazoa; Chordata; Actinopteri; Salmoniformes; Salmonidae
Description: lncRNA (ENSSSAG00000104333.1)
Source: RNAcentral
UCUAAAAACGAAGACUUUGAUCUUCAGGGAAGCAGAGAGAGAGACGAUGAUGAACUGACUCUCCAAUAGAAGGACUGACGAUUCCAACAGAGAUCACGACGACACACUGGCCUGGUGCCAAGGUCCGGCCCCGUCCAGAACUUCCUCCCAGGUCCACUUCUCCCGCCAGUCCAACUCGAAUUCCCUCUGCUCCUUCUUCUGCUGCUUGGUCCAUAGUUGGUGGGUGAUUCUGUCACGGUUGUCGUCGGUGAAUGAGGACCAAAACGCAGCAGGAAGAGCUCAUGACGUCUGGCUGCACUUUUGCAGCAUUGAGCUGGAACCCUGAUCCGCCACAGACUCUGGCCUGCCAAACAGCAAUAUCAGAGGACGUCCUGCGCCAGUUUGCAGCCGGAGUGUGGGGUGUCUUUGAGGGGGAUUACCU